GCUGUUUCGGCCCAACCCCCAAGCUCACAGCCCAGGUGGGAGGGGAGCAGCUGUGGCACCCAGCCCCUAUCCCUGACGAUAGAGAGCUGCAGAAGGGCCCCUACACCCCAGAAUCUGGAAAGAGCUCUAGCUCUGGUCUCUCUGGAUGGAGGACUGGUAAUAAGUUGGCUCCCCAAGACCUGAGAAUUUGAGAGACCUCAAGGAGCCUGCUUUCUAGAGAAGAGCUACGGGCAUUAGAGUGGAUCAAGUUCAAGCUAGUGGGAAAACAACUUUUGGUGAGCCCUAAUGUUCUGUGUUGUCUCUCUUUAACCCCCAG
Heterocephalus glaber (naked mole-rat) is the source of this 316-nucleotide long non-coding RNA. NCBI's taxonomy places the organism in Eukaryota, Metazoa, Chordata, Mammalia, Rodentia, Bathyergidae. The record is from Ensembl.